UGCUCGGGAUUGGGGUAGUGCUUU
RNAcentral lists this unclassified non-coding RNA (24 nucleotides) under Mus musculus (house mouse). Its description in RNAcentral is "oocyte_clustered_small_RNA1499". Lineage: Eukaryota; Metazoa; Chordata; Mammalia; Rodentia; Muridae. The record is from RNAcentral.